CCUACGGGGUGCAGCAGUAGGGAAUUUUCGUCAAUGGGCGCAAGCCUGAACGAGCGAUGCCACGUGAGUGAAGAAGGCCUUCGGGUCGUAAAGCUCUGUUUCGGGGGAAAAAAAGCAGCAUCAGGAAAUGGGUGCUGGCUGAUGGUACCACGCCAGAAAGUCACGGCUAACUACGUGCCAGCAGCCGCGGUAAUACGUAGGUGGCGAGCGUUAUCCGGAAUGAUUGGGCGUAAAGGGUGCGCAGGCGGUCCUGCAAGUCUGGAGUGAAACGCAUGAGCUCAACUCAUGCAGGGCUUUGGAAACUGGAGGACUGGAGAGAAGGAGAGGGAGGUGGAACGCCAUGUGUAGCGGUAAAAUGCGUAGAUAUAUGGAAGAACACCAGUGGCGAAGGCGGCCGCCUGGCCUGUUGCUGACGCUGAGGCACGAAAGCGUGGGGAGCAAAUAGGAUUAGAUACCCGUGUAGUC
Molecule: ribosomal RNA, 465 nt
Filed under: uncultured bacterium
Lineage: Bacteria
Description: partial 16S ribosomal RNA
Rfam family: Bacterial small subunit ribosomal RNA
Source: RNAcentral